This is a long non-coding RNA of Pangasianodon hypophthalmus (striped catfish), 10719 nucleotides long. RefSeq lists it as uncharacterized. The record is from RefSeq and is a predicted model, not a curated record. The transcript is spliced from 3 exons. Lineage: Eukaryota; Metazoa; Chordata; Actinopteri; Siluriformes; Pangasiidae.
UAGAAUACGAGAGUCAGCCUGAAACUGACUUUGGAAGAAGUGGUGCCUUAUGAAUCACAUUAAAAUGAAAUGAUCUAAUAGAUCACAUAAAAGCAGCAGGAUGAAAUGUGAAACAGUCAGUUAAUCCAAUGGUUUAUUACACAUGACAGUACACUUGCUGCCAGUGGUGCAGCUGAGGCCAUACUGACUUUCUUUGCUUUUUUGAUUCGUCAACUUUAGUGAGUUAUUCAGAAGAUUUCAUAUGAACAGCUCCGACUUCAAGAGUCAAAAUUUUCUUAUAGCCCCACGCAGUGUCUCGCAAGAUCGCAAAACUCAUGGCACUUUGGUUAGCAGUUGAUGCGAAGUAAAAUUACAACUUAAAAGAGUCUUUUCUUAGGAAUUUACCAACAAAUCUGCAUAAAAUAUUGAUAUUCCAGGCAGUUUGGCCAUAUUUCCACUGUCACUCUGCAUUUACAUUGUUUGUCUAAAAGACUUAAUGGCUAUGUGCUAGCUAGUUAAAUUAGUCAUUGGGUUACACUUAGUUUCCAUGUUUUCCAGUUGCUUAGCAACAAGUGAUGGCUUCUCGAAUGAUCUAUCAGUAACUUGGUUACUAUUAUGAGCCUAUUACAGUUGAGUUUUAUAGCACGGGGUCUAACUGUAGGUUUAAAGCGAUUACACGAACACACAGGAACACACUCAUUUAAAGACAGAUAGGAAACACCAUCAAUGCUAUGUUUUUUAUAGACUAAAAUGUAUCAAAUCUGUAAUCAUGCUAUGUGUCUUCUAAAAAAAAAAACAAGCAGCGUAAACAGAAAAGCAGCAUUUGUGCUUUCAAUCAGACCACAGAAAAACAACUUGAUGGUUCUGUCCUUUGUUCCUUGCUUACAUUUAUUUUAAUGUAUUUUCUUCUUGAAAAAGAUGGAUAAAUUAGCUCUGCUCAUCCAUUUUGCUCAUCCGGUGAGCCAUGCUAGCAACAGUGUUCUCAUAACUAAAACCACUUGAAAGGUGAAUGUAUUAUGUUUUUGUCAUCUGAUAUCAAAAGCACAAACUCACAAGGUCCAUUUGAAUGCCACAUUAGCUCCGCUCUAGUGUUUGUUAUCAAUCCAGGCUUUGAUUCAAAUUUUGUUUCAGGUAAAAAUUGUAAAAUUGUUUAGAUUAUGUCCAAAGUUGUAGUGACAGAUAUAAAAUAGAUGCAAUUCAUUUGUGGCACCAUGACGCCGUAUCAUUAAUGAAACAACAAUAAGCAUAAUGUAUGUCCAAUAAAUAAAGAUAAAAAAUAAAACACCCAGCAAGAUAAACAUGUCUCUCAAUUCAGCACUGACCCAGUGAGGCAAGAGCGCAUGACUUUGAUACUUAAAGACGGAGUGAGGUUUCAUGUGCUGUUGACACACCAGUCUGCAUUAAGAUCUAUCCUCGCUGGAGGCCAUGGCAAAGGAAGAGUGUGCAGUAGCGGAGGAAGUUCUGUGAAAGGCCAGCUGAGCACUUGAGGUUAACUUUAGCCACACAGGAAUGCCUUUCGAGUAUAACGGAGCUCCUUCCUACAACUUGACCCGCCAUCGUAAGUGUGUACACAUCAUGUCAGAUUUAGCAGAUAAUGCUAAUUACCAAAUGCUGACCAAAUGAGAUACCAAAUACCGAAUGAGAUACGACACAGAGCUGUUUACCUCCUUGGACUCAGAAAUGAACAUCUUUCAGAUUGGUAAGCUAAAUUACACUGUUCUAUUAAUUCUGCCAUUAUGUCACACACCAGCCUGGGACAUCACACUCCCAGUCAGCAGAGGUCUCCCUCCCAUGAGUUUGACCUUAUCACUUGCAGGUUACUUCCUGCUUUGUAGAGCAAUACAAUAUAAGACCAAUACGUGCAGUGCCUAAUGGCGAAGUCUUGCCAAUCCCAGCAUUUGUGUAAGUUCUGAGCUAUCUCAUUAUUGUGUUUUGACCCUUGCCUGUUUAUAAAAUAUGAUGUCUCACUAUUUUUCACGCUUGCUACCCUUACAAUGAUUCUGUUUUGUCUUUAUUAAUAAACCAUCCUGCAUUUAAAGCCUUAAUCAUCUCCCAAGUCCUGUUCGUUACAUUGUGUUUAAUAGACAAUGAUGGGCAUGCCUGAUAGACAUGUAUACAUUUAAAUACUGACAUGGACGCUGCUGCUAUUUUUUUUUAACAUUUAGAUUAUGUUGGUUAAUAAUUUGAUGUCACACAUUGUCAGAUAAUUACCAGCAACAGACCUAGAGGUAUCCACUUGGCACUGCCCUUCAAAACAUUACAAUAAUUUCAGCCAAAAGCCUCAUUUUGUUGUCAUGAGGAUUAGUAGUGUAACUUCUGAUUUGUAAAUGUUGCAUGAAAGUUGUAAAUAUGUCACCAUUUCUAUAUAAACUGCACUGGUUACUUGUCCCUUUUCCUUCAGUUCAUAUAAUAACAGCAUUUUCAAGGCAAUCCCCAGUCUCUGUGAUGGCUGUAUAUCCUUUAUUUUGUCCCUUUAUUUGUCCUAAUUCUAUCAUAUCUAUUCAUUCUGAUUCACGUAUGCUUAAACUCUAAUUAAUGUUUGUCAUAAUUAUUUUUGUUCUAUUUAUUUUGUCAUAAUUCUGAUUUGUGGAUUUUGCCAAGUGUCCUUGAGUUUGAGAAAGGUCUUAAAUAAAAUAAAACAUUUGAGAAAUAAAUAGGAAUAAAUAUCCAGGUGGAGCAGCAUUGCCACUUCACAGCUCCAGGGUCCUUGGCUCAAUCCUGAACUCGGGUUACUGUCUGUGUGGAGUUUUACAGGUUCUUCUAGUGUCUGUGUGGGUUUUCGCCAACCUCUAAAAAACAUGCCAGUAUGUGGAUUGGAUAAGAUAUACUGCCCCUGGGUGUGAAUGAGUGUGUGAAUAAAGCAGUUACUGUGAGUGAGCGACUGAGUGGGAGAUAGAUAGAUAGAUAGAGAUAGGGAUGAUGAUGAUGAUGAUGAUUAUUAUUAUUAUUAUUAUUAUUAUUAUUAUUAUUAUUACAAUAUGAGUCAUAGUAUGCCUCUAAAUAUCACCAUAGUAAAACAAAAUGUGACCUUGCAUUGGUGCUGUAUAAAUAACACUUUAAAAUUAUUUUUAUUAACUAUUAAUUUUAAUAUUACUUAAUUACUAUCAAAUUAUUUUUAUAAUUAUUAUCAUUUACUGCUGCUACAGGUAUGCCUAUUAUUGCUCCACUACCAAAUAGUUUACAGUUUACAGGCCAUGUUCUGUGUACUUACUGUCCUGUGUAUUUAUUGCUCUGUUCCGUGUGUUUAUUGUCCUGCACUCGUCUCACAUGUUGUGUAUUUGCACUUUAUGUAGUCUUGUGUACUGUUAUGUGUUGCACCACGGCCCUGGAGAAACGACAUUACGUUCCAAUGUAUAUAAGCUAUAUAGAGGAAUGACAAUAGAAACCCAUUUGACUUUUUUAUUAUUGAUAUUAUUAUUUUUAUUAUUGAUGGAUAGGACUCUGUGGCAGAGGUGGGCUCUCCUGAGGAGCAUGAUCUUCUGAAAUUCAUGGAUGUUAAUCUUUCCUGAGAUCCAGUCAAGGUGCUGUACUCUUCCGGUCCUUUCUGGACUCCGAUGACAACUGGAAUCAUCUCCCCCAUAUUGGACUCAUUUCUAUUUCCAGAUCUUUGCACUUGAAGAGCCUUUCUGAGACUUUAGUGGAUGUGUUGUUAUCAGAUGGCAUUGACGUAUCAAUGAGUGUGCACAUCUUGUCCUUGAUGAUGACCUGCUAGCUUUGAACUCUCUGAGAGUCUGUAGAGGUGUCCAAUCUUUUUUCAAAGCGGACCACAUCAAAAUACCCAAGGGCCAGUCACCAAAAUAUUAUUUUAAAGCUCCCAUAUAGUGAAUUUCAUUUUAGUGGAAUAACUGCAGCAGGGUAUCACCUGACAGCUGUUGUUGUGACUCACAAUAUGAUAUUCACAAAUGUGUGUUUCUUUUUGGGACAAAUGACACUGGCCACUUUAGUUAAGGACUCUUUCAAGGAUUCAUAAAAGGUUUUCCAUGCUUAGUGGUUGAAAGCAUUGCCACUUAUUAGCUCUAGUAAUGUUCUGUGCCCUGUUUGCUCUGCUAAAAUCUUUCAGCCGCUUCAGGUUCUCUGCCCUCUCAUCCUCCGAAUACUUUUUGCAUUGGCCAUGAUUUGCUUCAUAAUAUCUCAUGAUGUUAAAUUCCUUAAUUACCACAACAGUGUCUUGACAUAGGAGGCACACACAUGUGCUCUUGAUAAAAAAAGUAUUCUUUUUUCCAGCUCUUUUGAAAUCACUCCUUCUCACUGUUAACUUUAUGCUUCUUGUCUCUAGCCAUUAUUAAAUAUCAAUCAUUCAGUAAAUUAAUUUGCAGGUGCAGUCAGAGUAAAAAAGGCUUUUGCAAUUUAGCUAACCGUGUUAACACAGUCUGCUGCCACCCUCAGGCGAAAGGAAAAACUUGCAAGCCACCUAAUAAUUCAAGUUUAAUUUAAGUUUUAAUUUAAGUGAAGUGACUUGUGGCCAAGUAUGGUGACCCAUACUCGGAAUUUGUGCUCUGCAUUUAACCCAUCCAAGUGCACACACACAGUAGUGAACACACACACACACACCGUGAACAACGUGAACCGUAAUACAUUGUAAAUGAGAAGCCAUGGGCCAAUUAACAUCCACACUUUGGAUUUUGGACUUUGGACCAUGCUUUAAAGGUUAGGUGUUUUUUUUUUUAUGAAUUGAGCCCACUCCCCCAUUCCCACUCAUUCUCACAAAGCUCUGCCUCCAGGAUCUUAGAUGGCCCAUAGAGUAGGGUGUCUGUAAAAUAACUGACUGGAGGUGCAUCCAAACACAAACAAGCCUUCUGGACCAGAAGUAAGUUUUCCAAAUGGUUUACGGGCCACGGCUUAAUGCAUUUUUUUUUAUCAUGUUCUACAUAUCUUCCAGGUUAUUUGUACAAGUCAGAAAUGAAAAAAGACUAUUGCACCUUUUAAUUAAUUAUUCUUUUUAUUUUUUAAUGUGGAUACUCUUUCACAAUAUCUUGUGUUUAUGUAAGGUACAAGAAGACUAUUAAUCUUAAAUCAAUCAAUAAAUAAAGACAAGUAAAUGUUGUCUGUUCCUGGUGUAGAGCCCAGCAGAAAGUGGUACAGUUUUGGGAGAUCAUGGAUGCUGUUUUUUUUUUUUUUUUUUCUUCUCUAAUAUAGGUCCCGUCACUCAUCCACUCACUCGUUCAGUCAUUUGGUCGCCGCACCCUGUCCACUACAUAAGGAAUGGGGUUGUAACUGAGUCUGGAGACAGAUGGCUUCUAUUUAUAGGCUUCUGGAGAGGUGCGAAGUUUCUUGGGAUCUCUCAGAGAGGGCUCAGCUCCUUAAGGGGCCAGUCCAGUGCCACAGGGUCUUCCCCUUUAAAGCUCGUUUCUCAGCUGAGAGUAUAAAAGGUACGGCUAAACAAAGCUGCACUUGGCCUUGGAUGCUGUUUGUUUCUCCAUGAAAGCAAUCUGAUCUGCAUCUCCUUGGAGAAAAAGCCCUAUUAUUAUCUCUCGGUAUUAAUGAAGUCUCCGAAACACUUCCAGCAUCUCCUGUCUUUCCCAAUAAAGACUUCUUAAUCGUGUCUCACCCUCACAGGCAUGCUAUCUUGUCCAUGGAAACAUUUUUAGUUGUAAAACAACACUAAUUUAAACAACUUCGAUUUGGUUGUGAUUUCGAGAUCUUCCAUUUUUUUUUUUACCAGAGUCUGUAUCUUUUUGUUCUCAAUUACAAAAUGUUAGUAAAGUGUUUUUUUUCUCAAUGUACAAAAGUAUUUUAUGGACAUUAGAAUGCUUGGAAUAAAAAUAAGGCAACCUUAUUUAUUUAGCAUAUCUAUAGUAACAAAAAAUCUAUAUUUAUUUCUUCAAUAAACUUAAGGAAGUACUCCUAUCAUCAGGAGUUCUCGGGUUCGGAUCCUGAUGAUGCCACAGCCAUCCGUGGUCGGGAGUCUAGGGAGCAAAACUGGCCGCGUUGUCUGGGUGGGAGGGGCGUACUCUCUCUCUCCUGUCAAUCACAGCAUCUAAGACUUCAGCCUCCACUCUUGGUAGCUGUCGUGUGAUAGGGCAGAGCUGGCUGAUGGGUGGGAACUGAGAGAUGACCGAAUUGGGGAUGAAAUGGGCAAAUUACAUAGAAUAGUUUAUAAAAAUCUGUGCACUUUGGAAAUAAUAACUUAGAUUUUUUAUUCUGUUGUAUUUAUUAGUUUGUUUGCAUAUUAAUUUACUCAUUCUAGUUAUUAUUAUUGUUAUUAUUUUUUAAAAUCUUAUUAUUAAAAUAUAUUAUAGAUUUCACUUAAUUUUUAAAGACUUACUAUUUUCCCCUUCCAGAUGUCCUUUGGUAAAAGUUUUAGACCUUUAGACAUUGUGAACAAUUUCACAGUUUGAGGAAAGAUUGUACCUUUUAUUUUUAAGAACUGACUCAUUCAUGCAUCCAGAACCUACUCCCAUCUUAAUCACAUGACAGGAAGUGAAGUAAUUCAUAGUUUUAGUGUGACUGAUGUAUCACUUUAUAUCUGUGAUAACUCUUUGGGUGAUUAUUACUAUUGUUAUAAUAUUACACAGUGUUUUAUUGUUCAUUGCAUUCAAAUAACACUACUUUUUAGAAAGUUUAUUAUACAUUUUUUAAUGUACUGCUCUAAAGCAAAGGAUUUGCAUUAAUAUGCUGGUAUUUACCGAGACUUUAGGAAAUAAAAAUGUUAAUGUCCACUGAAUGGUGAUCAGAUUUUGCUCUAACUGACGUCAACAAAUAUUCAGUUUUAAUUUUCUUUCAAAUGCAUGAAUGUUUAAGGAGAAUAAAUGUUGAAUCUGUUUACAUGACCUGUGCCUGGUUUAAAUGGGUUAAUGACAGUAGCAGAAGCAGUUUGAGGAAACACUCGAGCUCAGAUGUCCUGCAUGAACAUAAAUAUCCCUAGUGAGCUGUUGUGUACAAGUAAAUUUGCACUAGACUUAAUAAGUAUGAAAGGGACUUAAAAAAAAAUACAAAAGAAAAAAAAAGAUAAUUGUUUAACUAGGGAAACAUUUAAAACAGUGUAUCCAUCUUACCUACAUUUUGUCUGAAAAAAAUAUUUCUUUUUAAGAAAACAAAGCUUAAUGUGUAUGAAUGUAAUGCAAUAUCAGACAUAACUGCAUGCUUAAUUUUUUUUUCCAUUUGCUAUUGCAGAUAAAUGAAUCAGCUCAGUGCUGCCACUGUGUGUUCAUUAUCAGAACUACACAAUUACUUUUGUAUGAACAGAAUCUGGGGUUCUUGCUACAAUGUAAAGUUUUAGAAAUUAUUAAAAACACACACUUUUAGUAAUAUAUCAAUACGUUUAUCCCGAUUUGCUGAACACAUAAAGGCAGUGCUUAAAUUUAAUUGGAUGAUGGAUGAUACCACAGAUUCUUUUCCUCUUCUUCUUCUUCUUCUAUAAUAAUAAUAAUAAUAAUAAUAAUAAUAAUAAUAGCAUUUUUAAUUAUCUGUACAAUUCAUUACACUUCUAUGUUUACUAUCAGAAAGGGAUCCAGACUAGAACCUAUGUUUGAGUACAAGAACUUCUGAGACUAGACCAUGGAAGGAUCCAGUAUUCUGUCAGACUUUCACAUUAAGGUCUGAGCAAUGUGAACAGGAUAACCUUGGCUAUUUUCAGCACUCAUGUGCAUGGCUAGAGAUGGUGUAAAACAGCGAAUGGAACACACUUCAAGGUGAACAUCCUUCAGCAAACAGAAGAACAUCUCAUCUGCUCUGAUGCCGAUUCUUAUUACAUCUUUUCUCUAGCAGUCAUAUGUCUGAGAAUAGAAAGGGAGCUCAUGGAGUCUGAUAUAUCACUUUAUGGCUGUGGUUUCUCUCCUCAGUAAGGUUUGGUACUGUGAAAAAGGGGCCGAGGUGUAGAAUUGUACAGACUGAAAAGACUGAACAGAACAACUACCAAUGUGAUACAGAGCAAAUCAUUAUUUAUACUUUUUUUUUUUUUUUUUCAUUUACAUUUUGUGGCAUUUGGCAGAUGCCCUAAGUCUCUAUCAAUGAAUACAUCCUGAUAAUGGUUCACUAGGUCAUGAAAGAAUACCAUCCGUCUAAAAAACUACUGGAGAGGUAACAUAGUAAGAAAAACACACAGAAAAACUUGAUUUUUAAAAAAAUAAAGUGCUAAUUUAUUUAUAAAUAUUUAUAGAGAUGUUAAUAUACCAUGUGAAAGGUUAAAUCCAGUGUUCUCAGUAAUAUCCUUUUUUGCACAAAGCACAGGGAGAAAAUGCAAACUCCACACAUGAGGUGGGAUUUGAACCCCCAACCCCAGAGAUGCAGUAUGUAAUGCACAAGUGAACAUCGUAACAGGGGUUUAAAAGUAAAGCCAAAUUGUCUCUGAGGUCCUCUAAUGGCUGGCUGCAGUACAAUGUUUAGUGGUCAAAAAUAUGUUGUGUUAAGUGUAAAUGCUGACUGCUGUUUAUCAGUAUAUCUUCAGUGGGUACAUUAUGUUAGCUACUUAUACUUACAUUACUUUGAUUAACAUGAUGGAUUAGCCAAUGUCAGCUAGCUAUUAAAUAGCAGUUCAGACAGUUAUGACUCAAAAUCAAUAUAUUUAUACAAAUUACAGGACUACAAUUUAGUAUUUUACCAGUUAAUUCAUAAAUAAUGCUGUACUUACAACAUUGAGGUAGCCUUCGAUGUGCCAUCUUAAUUUCAGGUAAUAUCCCUUGGCAUGAUGACUUGCAGCAUGAAGAAUGACUAAUAUGGGUAGGCAAGAGGUAGACUCACUGUUCAGUGGGCAGUGUCUACUGCUCAUGCUCUGGUCUAAGGUCUCUACUGUGCAAACUCAGUCAAAAUGGUGAUCUUCAAUUUGACCAAAUUUACGCUUCAAACCCGCACAACGGAAGUCAAUGGCGCCAUGUUGUCCAUUCAUACCUACAUAGCUUCAAACCCGCACAAUGGAAGUCAAUGGUGCCACAUUGUCCACUCAUAGGUAUAUGGCUUCAUACCUGCACAAUGGAAGUCAAUGACGCCAUUUUGUCCGUUCAUAUGUAUAUGAAUUCAUACUUGCACAAUGGAAGUCAACGGCACCACAUUGUCCACUCAUAUGUAUAUGACUUCAAACCCGCACAAUGGAAGUCAGUGGUGCCAUUUUGUCCAUUCAUAUGUAUACGGCUUCAAACCCCCACAUUGAAAGUCAAUGGCGUCAUGUUGUCCAUUCAUAUGUAUAUGGCUUCAAACCCACACAAUGGAAGUCAAUGGCACCAUGUUGUUCAUUCAUUGGCAUAUGACUUCAAACCCGCACAAUGGAAGUCGAUGGUGCCAUGUUGUCCGUUUAUAUGUAUAUGGCUUCAAACCCACCCAUUGGAAGUCAAUGGUGCCAUGUUGUCCAUUCAUAUGUAUAUGGCUUCAAACCCACACAUUGGAAGUCAAUGGCACCACAUUGGCCACUCAUAGGUAUAUGGCUUCAAACCUGCACAGUGGAAGUCAAUGGUGCCAUGUUGUCCACUCAUAGGUAUAUAAAGUCAUUCAAAAGUCUUAAGUCCACUAAGGUAAAUGUCUUUCAUUGUUCUACUGCAGCUGUUUAGUUCUAUUUAAAAAUAAAUGCUUAUCUGCCAAAGGAACAAGACCGUUUCAAACAUGAAGUAAAAAGAAGUCUAGAAAUAGGCUUAAUAUGUUACACCAUAUGUUUGUUUUAUUGUAAUCUCAUAAUGGGUAACAUUAAAUAAAUUUGCCUUUAUUUAAGAUAUUUUCACUUGCCAAGAUAUUUUUUAGAAUUUAGACCUAAUGAUUAUACAUCAUUUUCCAGUAAACUCUUUUAACAAGUAAUCUCUGAUGCAAUGUUCAUCACAGCCGUGUCUGUCGCUGUGUGAUUGUGAUUGUUCCUGGGCUGUGACGGCAGUGUUUAGUGAUGGAAUGGGAUUAGCGAGUGUACAGGAGAAUGCUGAGCAUGGUGGGAAUACUGUGCUGGGUUCAGCAGUCUGUCUGAAGGUGCAGGUUAGGCGUGAAUAAUGUGGCUUGGCACCAGAUUACACACACACAUACACAAACACACACACACACACACACACACACACACACACACACACAUAGAGAAAUGAUCAUUUCAUUAAUGAAAAGCAGGAUACCUAAUGCAUAGCUCCAGACAGCGAGAAAGCUUCAAAUGUCUGUGACUAUUUUUAUUAAUCAGUUAUAUAAGGAAUAAAACAUUUCAGGACGUGUUGUUAUAGGAAAAUAAUCAAUGAUUCAGUGGUGUGAUGAAGUAGACUUACUGUUACCACACUGUUAGAAGUUGAUUAUUUUCCAUUAACAGCAUGUCCAUGUAAAGCGUUUUAUUCCUCUUAUCCCACAGCAGUUUUAAAAAAAAACAUUUAUUUUUAUUGAGUAUGACACAUUGUAUUUUUAUCUGUUUAUAUUUACUUUAGUUUAAUACUGUGGAAUGUCUGCAGAACAAGUUAGUUCCUGUUGUCACUUACGUUAUAGCACCUAUAAACAGUCAUUCCCUCACAAGCCUCUAUCUUAAAGUUAACAAGACAGAGAAAACACAGUGUGUCAUGUUACAGAGAAAGUGGAAACCAUCUGAUGGCGACUUUCCUGUGUCAGAAAACGUACUGACUGUUACAAAGCACUGACAUUGGAGACUCCUUCCAUUAAAUAAGUGUCUCCUUACAAACAACAUUCACACAUUUUGCUUUGUUGGAUAAUGCCAUGUUUUUUAAUCCAUUAAUUGUUAGGCUUAGAUUAUGUGAAGCUUCAUCUGUACAAGUUUCUGUGAAUGAGCUGUUACUACAGAAAUGAUAAUGUAUUAGAACAAGCGUAUUAAUAUAAAAUUGUGAUUUGCAGCUGCAC